GCGCCUGCUUUGCAGCACAUAUACUAAAAUUAGAGCAAUGCAGAGAAGAUGAGCACAGCCCCUGUGUAAGGACAACACACAGAUUCGUGAAGUGAUCCUUUUUUCC
Molecule: small nuclear RNA, 106 nt
Organism: Ictidomys tridecemlineatus (thirteen-lined ground squirrel)
Lineage: Eukaryota; Metazoa; Chordata; Mammalia; Rodentia; Sciuridae
Source: Ensembl